GCCUGGGUGGCUCAGUCGGUUAAGCGUCCGACUUCAGCUCGGGUCACGAUCUCGCGGUCCGUGAGUUCGAGCCCCGCGUCAGGCU
Non-coding RNA from Felis catus (domestic cat), 85 nucleotides. Lineage: Eukaryota; Metazoa; Chordata; Mammalia; Carnivora; Felidae. The record is from Rfam.